Molecule: non-coding RNA, 160 nt
Filed under: human gut metagenome
Source: RNAcentral
UCAGGUGCCGAAGCCAUAAGCUCCGGAGAAUAGGGAAGUAAGUGAGAUUCUUACGCGGUCCCGCCACUGUAAGGGAAGAAAGAGGAUUCGGAUGCCACUGUCUGCGGAUGGGAAGGCGAAUCCAUCGAGGAGACCCGAGCCAGGAGACCUGCCUGAUGAC